This 4776-nucleotide long non-coding RNA is filed under the name Meleagris gallopavo (turkey). RNAcentral describes it as "lncRNA (ENSMGAG00000020528.1)". The record is from RNAcentral. Lineage: Eukaryota; Metazoa; Chordata; Aves; Galliformes; Phasianidae.
UUUUUUGUAAUAAUGGAUUUCUAAGCUGUCAAGUGUAUUUACUAUCAGUGCUGUUGGAAAGAUGCUUGAAUGUCCUAGUGUAUGACUGUCUCAAACCUUGGUCUAAUGGAAUCAGUGUUAGUGGACUUCCACUCUCCAGUCCUUUUCGGCAAGUUGUCAAACCAAGAGUAGAGGCUAAACCUAUUAACCCUCAAGAGAGCAGCAAAGGUGGGGACUUCAGUCACGUGAAGAACACUUGCAAUGAAGGCAAGCAAGGGGAGUAUUAUUGUGUAAAGGGAAUAAAAAUCCAGAAAUUCACAAUUUCAACAUACCAGAUGAAUUGAAAAAGCUUUUUGUUGCACUUCAUGACCGUUCGACAGCUGUCCUGGCAACCCAUGUGAUGUUGUUGCAAGGAUGCUGGAGACCUGUAAAGCAAGAAUGUGUUCUUUAAGCAUUAUAUGGCAAAACAGUCUGUUGGGAAUGCAUGUGCUUGAUUCAGUUGGUUAGGUUUAUGAAAUACAUUUUGAAUUAAUUAUUUUGCAUUUUAUAAUCAAAGCACCUUGCAGGUAGCCAAAACUACAUUCAACAGAGAACACACACUCUGAUAACCUUAAAGGUUCCUUGCUGGUUAAUGUUACUUAUGUAUUGAGCCUGAUUUGUGACUGUUGUACAGCUCAUGUUUUAUGCUUGAAUUGAAUGAUUUAUAGUGCUACCAUCCCUUCUAGAACUGCUUUACUUGCUAAGACUGCAUUUUUUGUGAACUAUACUUAGAAGAGAAUCAACAGGCAAAAUAAAACUCAGAGUGUUUAAGAAGGCCACAGAACAAAACUCUGAAGGAAGUCUGUGCCAUUACAUAUCUAAUUACUUGAAUUAUAGUGUUCUGGUAACUUACUUGCAGGCAGAUCUUCAUGAGAGGAAAGAUGUGAUUUAUAUUUUUCCAAAAUUAAAAAAAAAGGAUUAUUGUGGAUGAGGAGAGAGAAUGCCAUAAUAGAAUAGCACCAUCUAUAUGUCUGUAGACUGAUCUUCUGUUAGGUUUUAACAAAUCUCUAUUUCUGUAACUUGCAUUAAUGUUUAUCGCGUUGUUAUAAAUAAAAAAGUUAUCUCGGGUUGUCCCUGUCAGGUCUCCCGAGUCCUUCAUCAGUCAUUUGAUGUACCUGGAUUAAAAAUGUCUGUGUAGUUCAAAAUCUCUCAAAAACAUUUUUAGUUUCCACAAACUAUCCACAUAAUUACAUCUCUGUGUAUAUGAACAUAACUGGCUGGUACUGGCCAAGUGGACAGAAGAAAUCCUGAGUAGAUUUGUCUAUUUGCAUGAUUGUAUUACCUUUGACUACUAGUCAUUGUGUGAUAAGAUGAUGUAUCCAGCUGCCUACUAUUUCUGUUCAUUACUGUUUUCUUCUCUUCACAUCUUCUCUCUUCAGGUGAAAAACCAAACCAAAACAAAAACCAGUGGCUUAAAAUUAAAGUCAGGUGAAUUCCAAAUUAAAAUACCAGUUAGUUAUUGUAGAUAAUGGGGUGAAUUUACCAUUUAGAAAUGCAGUCAGGAUGUGUCUAGGCUGGGUUCUGAUGCUGUGUUUUUGUUUUCAUCUUGCUUGACUUCAGGCUGGAUACCUUUCAGAAUAAAUAAAUAUAUGUUUGUUGCCAAAUAUAAAGGCUUUUGCUCAGUGGGUACAUAGUUGUCUAAAAUGUAGCAAGCUGGGAUACAUAAGAGAGAGAUGGUCCAAGAUUCACUUUGAACUUGAAUCUCAAAAUAUUGCAUAUUUAUGAAUCUGUCUGAAUACCCUGAACCUUCCUCAGAAGGUACUUCAGCUUCUCUUUGUUGCUGCAGAGCAAUUCAAUGUGUGACCUAUUGCUUUUUGUCCUGCACAGUGCCAUCUGGGACAAGGACUGGAUUUUAAGGUUUGCCUUGUAACAGCCAGUUAAUGUGGUUUGACAAGGUAACAAACAAUUGGGGAAUGUCAAAGUUAAGAAACAAGAUCUUAGAGAAAUUGGAUAUGCUGUGAAUAUGAUCUGAUAUCAUUAAUUCAUGAUUUAGGAAUAGGUGAUAGUUGUGAAUAUUCAGGAAUAGUAGUGGUUUUUCAGCCAUGUGUGCUGUGUGUUAGCCAGUCUUCAGGUAAAUUUUUGCAAAUGAAUGAUGAUAUAAAAUCAGUAUUUCUCAUGUUGCUGUUUCUGAAAUGUCCUUGUUAUAUUUUUAAGUCUUGAUGCUUAAAUCUUCCUCCUUUUUGCUUCAAUACAGAAUGUUGCCAGUAUGCACUUGAACUUCUUAGCAAUCUUCGUUUUCAAUUUUGCUACAGGCUGUCUUCUAAUACCAGUCACAAGCUUCUGGAAAUGAGUGUUAUAACGAUCUCAUAAAUUUAGUAUAAAAAUUGCUUUAUGGUCUCAUCAUAAAGCUUGCUUACACCCUCAAGCUGAAAAGAAUAUCACAGUAUAAUAUUAUGUUCAGAUGUACUCUCUUUUUACUGUUAACUGCUGAGUAAUUUGGUAAGCACUGUCCUAAAAUCCUUGAUCAUUCCAGUGUUUGUCUAUACUGCAGGAUGAGCGCUCACUGUGGUUACACUGCUAGGUGAAAUAGUCUAUUUUAAAGAACUGCUGUGUUCCUUUGCUAUCAGUGAAUGGUAUGAAAUGUUAAACUAUUAUAUAUAGAACUAAUCUAAUUUAAUACACUGUCUGUAGCGUCUCUUAUCAGGUUUAGACAGCAUGUAUUAAAUAAGAUACUGGACUUGUUUGGAUUUUUCCAUGCAGUUCUCAGGUGAUGCUCUUGAAACUAUGAAAGUAUCAAAGUGUGCUAUUGAUUGUGAUAAUGUUUAUGUUGCUGAUGCUUUAAGCUCAAAAUCAUUUUACAUAUGUACCUUGAAUCUAUUUUAAGUUUAAUCCGUAAAUAGAACAUGUAAGUCUUAGAUUUUUGUAGCAGUUCUAGACUGUGAAGUUAGUGGGGAUGUUGAAUCUGCAGAACACUCUUGAUAUUUUAGAUUCCUUCUUUUUAGUUACCUAAGGGUUGUUAAGCACUGGAAUAGGCUCCCCAGGGAGGUGGUUGAGUCACAUCACCAUUUGGAUGUGGUGCUCAGGGACGUGAUUUAGCGGAGGGUUGUUAGAGAUAGGUAGUAUGGUUAGGAUGUGGUUGGACUCAAUCUUUAAGGUCUUUUCCAACCUGAGCGAUACUAUGAUUCCAAAUGUGAAUUUACCAAUGGGAUCUUAGAAACAAAAGUAUAAUACCAGUUAGGCGUUCUACUUCAAUGUUGUCCCACUUUGGAAUUCAGUACUGUGCGUGUAAAUUUUGUGGAUUUGAGUCCUCCAUUGAUAUUACAACAUCAGGUCUUGUAAAGAAAAAUAUUGCAGUUGCGAGUUUCUAAUAAAUUUAAAACUAAUGAAAGAGACAAUAAAAAUGUGAAACAAAGCUCUUUCACUUCCCAAGUUGAUUUCUAUUAGCUUUUUUUUUUUAAUUUAUUAUUGGUUAAUUGAAAUUUGUGAGCUAGGUGUGAGAAAACAAGUCACAUUUCUUGAAAUAUACUCAAUAAAGACCCAUGAACCAAAUCUACAUUUCCCAGCUCAGCAAUGUGGUCUUUGUUGCCUUUUUGGCUGAGGGUAGAUUUGUUCUGCAAAAAUGACAGAAAUUUGAUCUCUUGAUCAUUGGAACAUGGCUUGCAGAAGCUUAUUCUGAUCUGAAAUUGGAUGAAAACCUGCAGUGUUUGAAUAGACUGGUUCUAAUGGCUUUUAACUUUCCUUCCCUCCCCAGUUUGGCAACAUUCCUUUAAGUGCUUUUAGGAUUCUAUAAACAGUUGAGUAUUCUGCACUAUUUCUGCUUACCAGCUAUAUUCUUCUGUGCAUUGUUGCAUCUAAAGAUGCACACUCUGAAGCCGUGGAGAGGACUAUACUUCAGAACACCAAGUAAGUGUUCUACAAACAGUAUUCUCUGGAGCCAUGGGAAAAAAAAAAAAGCUAAUUCCCCUAGAUUUGAGUAAACUCAAUUCAUUCAUACCACCUGGUAUUUUACAUUCAGUACUACUGCAGUAGCAGAAAUUUCAAUUCCGAAUGUUUUUCAACUUUGAGUACUUCCUUUUUUUCCAUCUUGUUUGACAUGAAAGAAGCAUCAUUUAAAUUUUGUGUUGUAAUGAUAUGAAAGUUUUAGAUAGAUUCACUGUGUGCCUGUCAAAAGCACCGUUUUCUCCAGGCGUUGAUUAAUUGUCACUCAGUAGCAAGGGGUGCUAGCCUACUUAAAUCCAAACAAGUAUCUCAUCAAGGAUAGUUGCAGCAGAUACAACCUACUGCGUAAAUCAUACUUUCUGUCAUUCCCUCUUGUCUGAAGAUCGACAGUGAAAAAUUGAAGUUGACAUCAAGACAAUGAAUAAAGCUUAUGUGAACAGUAACAGAUCCUACAGUCACGAAAACUUUCCCAAGGGGUGAUAUUGCCAUAAUUCGCCUUGGUGCUCAACCACAAAAAUAUUAUGUUGCUAUAGUUAGUGUCUGUUAGCAUCUCUUGAAAUUAAUGAUUUGUGGUGGUUUUAUCUUCAAUUGCUAGUCAUUAAUAUAUGGUCAGUGUCCAUCAGCAGCAGACAUCAUUUGUGUAUAUCUGUUACUUUUUUUCUGAGAUGUUCUAGUGCUGUUACAUUGGAAAUUUUUCAGACCAAAUUGUGAGGAGAAGCACUUCUCUCUUAGCUGCCAUUGUAUGUACAUAUGUAUGAUUUGAAUUUCGCUCUUGCAAAUUAUUGCAUGCAUUGUUUUCCUCUCUUCCUGACUUACCUUACCCUGUUCUCACGAAGAAUAUUCAGACCAGAAAACAUGUUAAAUUCACUGAAUCACCCA